GAUGAACGCUGGCGGCGUGCCUAAUACAUGCAAGUCGAGCGAACGGACGAGAAGCUUGCUUCUCUGAUGUUAGCGGCGGACGGGUGAGUAACACGUGGAUAACCUACCUAUAAGACUGGGAUAACUUCGGGAAACCGGAGCUAAUACUGGAUGAUAUUUUGAACCGCAUGGUUCAAAAGUGAAAGACGGUCUUGCUGUCACUUAUAGAUGGAUCCGCGCUGCAUUAGCUAGUUGGUAAGGUAACGGCUUACCAAGGCAACGAUGCAUAGCCGACCUGAGAGGGUGAUCGGCCACACUGGAACUGAGACACGGUCCAGACUCCUACGGGAGGCAGCAGUAGGGAAUCUUCCGCAAUGGGCGAAAGCCUGACGGAGCAACGCCGCGUGAGUGAUGAAGGUCUUCGGAUCGUAAAACUCUGUUAUUAGGGAAGAACAUAUGUGUAAGUAACUGUGCACAUCUUGACGGUACCUAAUCAGAAAGCCACGGCUAACUACGUG
This 497-nucleotide ribosomal RNA is filed under the name uncultured bacterium. RNAcentral describes it as "partial 16S ribosomal RNA". It matches the Rfam family "Bacterial small subunit ribosomal RNA", at positions 28 to 507 of the family's 1533-position model. The record is from RNAcentral.